RNAcentral lists this long non-coding RNA (203 nucleotides) under Brassica rapa (field mustard). RNAcentral describes it as "long non-coding RNA (BRAP_LNC001244)". Lineage: Eukaryota; Viridiplantae; Streptophyta; Magnoliopsida; Brassicales; Brassicaceae. The record is from RNAcentral.
AUAAAGUGUAACCGUUGGUCUCUGUGGAUUUGAUCCUAAAGUGCUACAGCGACAUACCAUUUGAUUGUGGUAGUGUGCACAUUAGGUUAAUUGGUGUGCAUAUACACGUAAUAUCAGUUGUUGAUGGCUCGGCAGUCCACGAACAUGUGCCAGGAUCCAUCCUUACUGGGAACAAGGAGGACAGGAACGGCACAAGGGCUGAG